UGUAGCUCAGUGGUAGAGUGCUUGUCUAGCACAUGUGACACCCUGAGUUCAAUCCUCAGCA
RNAcentral lists this transfer RNA (61 nucleotides) under Ictidomys tridecemlineatus (thirteen-lined ground squirrel). Its description in RNAcentral is "Spermophilus tridecemlineatus (thirteen-lined ground squirrel) tRNA". It matches the Rfam family "tRNA", at positions 6 to 65 of the family's 71-position model. From Rfam's summary of the family: Transfer RNA (tRNA) molecules are approximately 80 nucleotides in length. Their secondary structure includes four short double-helical elements and three loops (D, anti-codon, and T loops). Further hydrogen bonds mediate the characteristic L-shaped molecular structure. tRNAs have two regions of fundamental functional importance: the anti-codon, which is responsible for specific mRNA codon recognition, and the 3' end, to which the tRNAs corresponding amino acid is attached (by aminoacyl-tRNA synthetases). tRNAs cope with the degeneracy of the genetic code in two manners: having more than one tRNA (with a specific anti-codon) for a particular amino acid; and 'wobble' base-pairing, i.e. permitting non-standard base-pairing at the 3rd anti-codon position. Lineage: Eukaryota; Metazoa; Chordata; Mammalia; Rodentia; Sciuridae. The record is from Rfam by way of RNAcentral.